GACGAACGCUGGCGGCGUGCUUAACACAUGCAAGUGGAGCGACGAACCAGGCUUCGGCCUGGGGCAAAGCCGCGAACGGGUGAGUAACACGUGGGUAACCUGCCCCGAUGACCGGGAUAACCCGAGGAAACUCGGGCUAAUACCGGAUGUGCUGCACGGCCUCAAGGCCGUGUAGCAAUGGAAGCUUCGGCCUCCGCAUUGGGAGGGGCCCGCGGCCCAUUAGCUUGUUGGUGAGGAAAGGCUCACCAAGGCAACGAUGGGUAGCUGGUCUGAGAGGACGGAUCAGCCACACUGGGACUGAGACACGGCCCAGACUCCUACGGGAGGCAGCAGUGGGGAAUC
This 342-nucleotide ribosomal RNA is filed under the name uncultured bacterium. RNAcentral's name for it is "bacterial SSU rRNA". It matches the Rfam family "Bacterial small subunit ribosomal RNA", at positions 28 to 363 of the family's 1533-position model. The record is from RNAcentral.